This 256-nucleotide ribosomal RNA is filed under the name uncultured bacterium. Its description in RNAcentral is "partial 16S ribosomal RNA". It matches the Rfam family "Bacterial small subunit ribosomal RNA", at positions 524 to 776 of the family's 1533-position model. The record is from RNAcentral.
GACGUAGGUGGCGAACGUUAUCCGGAAUCAUUGGGCGUAAAGGGUGCAUAGAUGGCAUGAUAAGUUAUUAGUGGGAAAUCGAGGCUCAACCUCGUGGAAGCUAGUAAUACUGUUUUGCUUGAGUACAGAAGAGGUUAACGGAACUCCAUGUGGAGCGGUAAAAUGCGUAGAUAUAUGGAAGAACACCAAUAACGGCGAAGGCAGUUAACUAUUCUGUUACUGACAUUGAGGCACGAAAGCGUGGGGAGCAAAACGG